This 658-nucleotide ribosomal RNA is filed under the name uncultured Actinomycetales bacterium. RNAcentral's name for it is "bacterial SSU rRNA". It matches the Rfam family "Bacterial small subunit ribosomal RNA", at positions 67 to 738 of the family's 1533-position model. The record is from RNAcentral. Lineage: Bacteria; Bacillati; Actinomycetota; Actinomycetes; Actinomycetales.
CGGAAAGGCCCUGCUUGCAGGGUACUCGAGUGGCGAACGGGUGAGUAACACGUGGGUGAUCUGCCCUGCACUUCGGGAUAAGCCUGGGAAACUGGGUCUAAUACCGGAUAGGAGCCAUUUUUAGUGUGAUGGUUGGAAAGUUUUUUCGGUGUAGGAUGAGCUCGCGGCCUAUCAGCUUGUUGGUGGGGUAAUGGCCUACCAAGGCGGCGACGGGUAGCCGGCCUGAGAGGGUGGACGGCCACAUUGGGACUGAGAUACGGCCCAGACUCCUACGGGAGGCAGCAGUGGGGAAUAUUGCACAAUGGGCGCAAGCCUGAUGCAGCGACGCCGCGUGGGGGAUGAUGGCCUUCGGGUUGUAAACUCCUUUCGCUAGGGACGAAGCUUUUUGUGACGGUACCUAGAUAAGAAGCACCGGCUAACUACGUGCCAGCAGCCGCGGUAAUACGUAGGGUGCGAGCGUUGUCCGGAAUUACUGGGCGUAAAGGGCUCGUAGGUGGUUUGUCGCGUCGUCUGUGAAAUUCCGGGGCUUAACUCCGGGCGUGCAGGCGAUACGGGCAUAACUUGAGUACUGUAGGGGUAACUGGAAUUCCUGGUGUAGCGGUGAAAUGCGCAGAUAUCAGGAGGAACACCGAUGGCGAAGGCAGGUUACUGGGCAGUU